This 650-nucleotide ribosomal RNA is filed under the name uncultured archaeon. RNAcentral's name for it is "bacterial SSU rRNA". It matches the Rfam family "Archaeal small subunit ribosomal RNA", at positions 153 to 804 of the family's 1478-position model. The record is from RNAcentral.
UGUUAUUGUCGCGGAGGCUGGAUGCACCGCGAUAUAAAGCUCCGACGCCUAAGGAUGGGUCUGCGGCCUAUCAGGGUAGUAGUGGGUGUAAAGUACCUACUAGCCUACGACGGGUACGGGUUGUGAGAGCAAGAGCCCGGAGAUGGAUUCUGAGACACGAAUCCAGGCCCUACGGGGUGCAGCAGGCGCGAAAACUUUACAAUGCUGGCAACAGCGAUAAGGGGACCUCGAGUGCCAGGAUACAAUCCUGGCUGUCGUAAUGCCUAAAAAGCAUUAUAUAGCAAGGGCCGGGCAAGACCGGUGCCAGCCGCCGCGGUAACACCGGCGGCUCGAGUGGUAACCGUUAUUAUUGGGUCUAAAGGGUCUGUAGCCGGCUGGAUAAGUCUCUUGGGAAAUCUGGCAGCUUAACUGUCAGGCUUUCAGGGGAUACUGUUCGGCUCGAGACCGGGAGAGGUGAGAGGUACCUCAGGGGUAGGGGUGAAAUCUUGUAAUCCUUGAGGGACCACCAGUGGCGAAGGCGUCUCACCAGAACGGAUCUGACGGCAAGGGACGAGAGCUAGGGGCACGAACCGGAUUAGAUACCCGGGUAGUCCUAGCCGUAAACGAUACUCGCUAGGUGUCGGCCACGGUGCGACCGUGGUCGGUGCCGU